RNAcentral lists this long non-coding RNA (7420 nucleotides) under Homo sapiens (human). RNAcentral describes it as "HSALNT0105346". Lineage: Eukaryota; Metazoa; Chordata; Mammalia; Primates; Hominidae. The record is from RNAcentral.
GCUCACCCAAACUUGGCUUCCUCUGCCUGUCCCAGGCACAGGCCUGGCAGGAAGUGACCAGCCUCCCAUUAGCUCUUGCCACAGGUCUGGGAGAGUUCACAGGCUGCUGAGCUGAGAUAAGAGGACCGGCAGGAACUGAGGGUUUCCUCACCCUAGAAAAGCACCUCCUCCUACUACUCCUUUGCCCUCCAGACUCAAGGCAGGAAGAGAAACCUGGGGAAGGGGCCUCAGAGGAGAGGCCUCCAUCAUGUGUUCAUUCUGACUGUUAUCAGGUGCCCAGAGAUGGAAGCCACCCUGACUGGGGAUGAGCAGUUACUUCACCAACUCAAACUGGCUUAGACGGUCAGUGCUACCACCUGGCAUGUCAACAAAGGAUGGAGGAAGUGCAGUGCUGCUCCCCGCAAUGAUAUGAGCUGCAAUGGUGUCCUUUGGGCUGAUUUCCUCUCUCCACCCACGUCCGAAGUUUUGGGGCGUCUCUUUAGAGUUCUUUCUCUCUAGCCACAAGUCCUGCAGGCCAUUGGAAGACUAGGCUGCAGAAAGCUCAAACUGUUCCUUCCAUUUUGGGACCAGGGAACAGAGCUCACUUAAUGCUGCUCUCCCACUGAUGAUGCCCACCCAUUCUCGGCCUGCAAGCCCUACCACUCACAGCUUCAAAAAUGGCUCCGCCCUUCCUGAUUCCACCCCACACAGAAGAAAGCAACUUCUUGUGAUGCUUCCUUAUUCUGGAUGUGGCUCACCUCUUACCCCUUCCAACUCCUUUGGGUCCCCUAGAAAGCCUCCCUGGCUAAGGGGUACAGGCCCUCUCCUCAGCAGUGGGCACUGACCGUCUAACCAGGGCUCUGUCUCGGCACCUGGUAGCAAGGACGGCAAGAUACAACAACAUGCUGAUUUUAAUAGCCUCUGGCUUUCUCCACUGCGUUUCUCACCUGAAUGCCCUGCACACCAAAUCUUCCAUGGGGUCACCCUUGACCUCUAGGGCAAUUCCCAAGAAUCUAGCAGAGGAGUGGGGGAAACCAAAAGGCUGACAUGAAGGACUCAAGGGAAGCCUCUGGAAAGAAGAGACCAGACACUAAAAGGGAUGUGUGUGAAAUACUGGUUUUUAUUGGUUGGCACAAGAUUACAACCUACAAUUUCAAUGCCCUUCCCUCCCACACAGCUCAAAUGGAAGGAAACUGAUUAACACAUAGAAAGGAACGGCAGGCUCACAGGUUUAAGCAUUUGUUUUUACAAAAAGGAGUGGGAUAUGGGGGUGGUCAAGUUUUACGGGUAAUAACAACAUUCUCUCUAGAUGGCAGGGGGUAAGUCUGCCUGUCCUCCAUUGCUGGUACCACAUAAGGGAUACAUUAGUAAAGUAGGGAAAGGGUUAUAUGUGUGGCUGGCCUGUUCUUUAGAGAGGAAGGUGGGAUGGUAUCUGCUGUGUACCUGUCUCAGACCAAACCUGGGGCUGGACCAGUGCCCCUUUCUUCUCAGCCCUCCUCCACAGCCUGACUGUACUGCCAGCCGCACCCAUGAGAAGGAGGUGUGAAGGAAGCCUGAGGACAUCCACCUCGAGAAAAGGAAACAGGAAAACUAUUUCCUUCCGCCUUCUCUGGACCAAAUUUCACUCCCCUCAGCUCCAGAGAGUGCUGCAAAAAUCUUCCUUAGGGACGCUGUGAAGACACGGGGAAGAGGCCAGCCCUGAGCGGGCAAGAAGAAAAGCUUGAACUUUCCAUGCAGUACCAAGCAAGGCUAUUUUGGAAACAAGCAAACAAACAAAAAAUGGAAACCAACACCAUAUAACCACAGGUUGGGUAGCUCCUAAAUCCUGGACAGCAUUUGGAUUGGGGGUAAGGGCAAUUUUACUCCAGCUCCUUGUUUUAUAACCCGCACAAGGUGCCAAGAGGUUUAAGGACCACAACUGACCUCUCUUUCCCUACAAGCACCAUUCCUUGGAUUCCCAGUUUUGUUGAGCUCAUUUGAGGUCAUCCUUGCCAUCCUCUUAAAAAAUGACACAGCCUCUUGGUUAUUCCAUUUUCUAUCCCUUUCUACAAUUAUGAACACACUCUCUAAACAGGAGAUCUAUAUAUGCUCUCAUCCUGCAACCCAAGAGAUUAGGUGACCUAAUGAUGAGAAGGCUAACUUAUUUGCUUUCCUGGGUGGUCCUGAUGGAAAUGAACAGCAGCAGAGUUCUGGUGGGAUAGAGCAGUCUAGUCUGAGCCACUGUGUGAUUCCCCAGGGGACUGGUCCCUGGGUACAUGGGUCCCUGGCUCUCUGUCUCAGUUCCACAGAUAUUACUCAACUUGGCCAUUUACGCCUCAGCUAAAACAUAUGAGCAUGAGGGAAAAGGGACAAGAAAUACUUUUGUCCUCUAGAAAAACUUAACUCAAUACAUCUUGGCUACUUUGCCUCAACCCACGGGGUUCCCUGGAAACAUUUGUUGAACUUGGCCAAGAGGAGAUUGUAUAUGGAUGGCACACCUGGAAAAGGGGAGAAAGCACACUAGUUCAUCUCUUUUAUAAGUAGAAUGGUCCCAGGGAUGUUAACCUUUCUGAUGCUGAUAGUAGAUGAGUGGAGUGGAGGUAAUCGUGAGAAAACUUAAAAACCCUUAAGCUGUUUGGAGACUACACACCACAGUGGAGCAAACCAAGGUGGGGCCUCACUGCCUCCUCAGAGCCCAUCCCUGACCAUGUCAUUGGAUAGGAUGGAAGACAAAGUCUUUGAAAUGGAGGCUGGGCUGGCAAAAGUAAGUAUGAAGAUGCUACUACUGGCCUUCCACUUCCUCUCUCUGAUACACCUAAGAAGGUGAGAGACACUAGCUUCAAUUCCAUUUUACAACAGUUCUCAACAACCUGAAAUAUUCUUGACUUCCUUAAGCACAUGGAAAACUGGUGAUAUCCCAAGUGACACAGAAACACAGCUCCUCCGGAUGGUGAAGUCUCCGCUGCAAAACUCACGAAACAGCACAGAGGAUGACUCUAGGGUGCUCUCCCACUUGCUCCAAGUUAGGCAGGUGCCCUGAUGGAGGCAAGGCUGAGCCAUUAACAUGCACAGCUCCAUAUCCUGGAAGCCUCUGUAGCCUUGAGGAGAUAGGCUCUAUCCAACAGGACUCAGAAUAAAUGACUGCCACCUCAACUGAGCAGUAUGAACUGCCCACCUCAACUGGGCAGUCUGACCUCUUCCACAGUCUUUAAGAAACAGAAGAGCCAUUUGCAUUAUUUAAUCACCAUUCAAUAAUCUCCUCCCUCCCCAUAGCUGCUUGAGUUAACUGUCCCACAAGUGUCCUGUGUUUUGUAAAGAUGAGGGUUAUUUUCUGAAAUGCAGAUGGGACUAGGAUGAAGCUGUAUUAUCAAUUACAGAGACAGCCAACUCUCAUUUCUCUUAAAGCAAAAAUUCAUUCCACUGUGAUUUCUCCAGGUAUUUCCUGCAAUUCUAAAUCCGCCCUUGAUAUUAGAGAAUAUUAAAAUCACACAGUUGUGGCAAAAAUCACAUUGUGGCUAUUAAAUCCUUUUUGUGAACUAAAAAAAGUGAAUGUGGCUUAGGCUAAGCUGUUUUUUUUUUUUUUUUUUUAAAGAUGAGGAUGCGGACUCCAACAAAGGCAUUAAGAAAGUACUAGAUGAAAAUGAGAAAUAUGUGAAGGAUAACAUGUGAAAUGUACACUCAGGUCUAACAAAUACCUAUUAUUUCUCUGGUUAAGAAGGUUUAGCAGGAGCCUCCAAUGAGCACUGUAUGUAGAGAAAAGGGAAGGAGCAGGAGGAGGAACAGAUCUGCACAGAAUUUUUUUCUUAAAAACCACAAAGGGUGACUUUUUUCUUCUAAGCAAGCAAGCCUGAGAGGCAUUACAUGGGCUGGCUCCUAAUAUCAAAACAAAAUAUUUCUUUGCCACAAAGGAACUUGACUAUGUAGCAACACAUUUACAAAACUACUGCAAAACACUCCCAGAGGGCAGUGACCUACUCUGCUCCCCAGAGGCUCCAAGAAGCAAGGCCUCAAGUGCCUCAUGUUCCAUGGGGCUGUGCAGUGCAAUGCAGAAGGCGGAAAUCCUGCUGUGACGCCACCCUCGAGACCUUCUGCAGCCUGAGAGGGGGUGAUACUCCCACACCCUUUGAUCCUUCCAGAUGGCUCAGCCUAGAUCUAGCAGUGAGAGAGCCCUCUCCAUGCAGGGCAGAUGGAGUGGUGGACACUUGUGAAAACAAAACACUAACUGUUCCAUCCUGUUAUAUUUGCUGUGAGGAAAAUUAAGAUUCCUGUUGUAUGGGCUGCACUGUUUCUGGAAGACUACAGAAAAUCUAACAUGGUUGACACUUCCUGGUAGCCCUUCUGUACAUACACACACACACACCCAGAGAGAAGACAGAGAGAAAAUCCUGGUCCAAAAGAUCACAUGACCUUACUAGUGUUUCCCCAAUGACUGUAAUUUAUAAACUAAAAAUUUUUACAAAUCCACUGCUAUCUUCUUCUGUCCUGAGUUUGGUAGACUUUAAUGGAUGCUCCAGCAAUAACCAGAAUCUAGGACAUGCAGACUCACUGUGAGCGAGAGGCUAGGGAUCUGCCCUAAACAUAGGAACCUGUUUCUAUCAAGCCUGAAUGAGGUCAGCUCUGGUAGAAUUAAUGACAAAUCAAUGUCAGUGAAAUAUUCUGCAAACAGGGUAGCUUUUGUGCUUUCUUUUGAUUAUUUUCUUUGGGGAGAUAAAGGUAUUGCAACCAUGGGUCUAACUAAUCUAUCACUAAAGGACUGUGACGACAUUCUCAAUAAAGACAGUCAUGGUGUUUACUGUGCCAAGGAGGGAAAAUCCCAGAUCAUCAGAAUCCCAGUGCAACAGAAAACAGCACCAGUUUCAACAAUUCUGAUGUUGGACAAAGCCUCUUUUUGUCAGUUAAGAAAGCGUAAGCACAAUCUCUCAGUCAAUUGCAUUAACAGGAAUCCAUUCAUGUCACUGAAAAAUACUUCUUGGCACAGUUCACUUUCCUGACCCAAAGACACCAACAACAAUCAAAACUGCACUUUCAGGGUAGUAUAUUGUUACACUAGCCCAGUCAAAACAUACUCAGAACAUUUAAAAAUGUAUAAAUUACUGUUAGCACUGCAGUUCCGUUUUAUUUUCUUAUUUAUUUAUUAAGACAGAGUCUUACUCUGUUGCCCAGGCUGGAGUGCAGUGGCAUGAUCUUGGCUUACUGCAACCUCUGCCUCCCAGGUUUAAGCAAUUCUCAUGCUUCAGCCUACCAAGUAGCUGGGAUUACAGGAGUGCACCAUCAUGCCCAGCUAAUUUUUGUAUUUUAGUAGAGAUGGGGUUUUGCCAUGUUGGUCAGGCUGGUCUCAAACUCCUGGCCUCAAGUGACCCACCUGCCUUGGCCUCCCAAAGUGCUGGGAUUACAGGUGUGAGCCACUACACCCAGCCCUGCAGUCCCUUUUUAAAGAGUACUGACUGUUUUCCUGCAAAGUACUUUCAAAUCCAUACCAUAAAGGUAGAAUUUAUCUGGAAGAAUGUGUUUUUUGAAUUCCACCUGGCACUUGGUUAAAUCUACUUUAUUUUGCCCUUUAUUUAUUUGAACAGAACUUUAGAAUGCUCUAGGUCAGGAAAAGAAACAGUGUGUUCGUUUUUAAGAAGGAUGUGUGAAUAGUAAGUUGGCAUUCAGACUCAAGUCCCAUGGUAUUGUUCUUAUCCAAUGGGACCUCUCCUUGGGAAUAUAAUUCCUUUCCCAGAGGUAUCAUGGUAUCCCAAGAAUAUAACUGCUCUUUGGCUCUGUGUGUGAAGAUUGGGGGAGAGGAUGUAAACUAAGAGUAUAUAGCAAAAAAAAAAAAAAAAAUUUUUUUUUUUUUUUUUUGAGAUGGAGUUUCACUCUUAUCACCCAGGCUGGACGACAGUGGUGCAAUCUCGGCUCACUGCAACCUCUGCCUCCCAGGUUCAAGCGAUUAUCUCGCCUCAGCCUCCCAAGUAGCUGGGAUUACAGGCGCCCACCUAAUUUCUGCAUUUUUAGUAGAGACGGGGUUUCACCAUGUUGGUCAGGCUGGUCUCAAACUCCUGACCUCAGGUGAUCCACCUGCCUCAGCCUCCCAAAGUGCUGGGAUUACAGGUGUGAGCCACCGUGCCCAGUGAGUAGACAGCAAAAUUUAAAGUUCACCAACUGAUGUUCCCAAAAGUGCUGAACACUAAAUGACACAGGGCUAUGAGGUACAUACAUUUCUUUUAGUAGGAGGGAAAAGUAAAAGCUUUUCAAAGUUUGAGUGCUUUAUUAGAAUUUUUAAAUGAGGCGAACUAUGAUUUUAAUUUCACAUCUUGGCUAAGGAGAUGCCACUGGAGUACAGAGAUAAUCUCCUGUCUUAAGCCACGGAUCAGUCAGUGUAGCCCUCCCUACCCCUCAAUCUCAAGACCCUCUUACUUCCGAACUAAACAACACAAUUGGCAAAUGAAGCCAGCACGAAACUGUAUCAAAAAACAAGAGAGUCUGCAGUGAGCCAGUGUAUUAUGUAACCACUGUAAUAAGUGAUUACGUGGCCUCCCAUAUGGACCUUUCAUAUCCUGGUGGGAGAUGGGAGACCAAUUUAAUAGCUCUGAGCAUGCUCCAUGGUGCAAUCACAAGUGCCAUGCCAAUACAAAGACAAGCAAGCAGGUGAAUUUCCCUAGUGUACUUUUCAGGAACACGGUUACUCAGUUCAGGGACAGGACUACAUUGAUGCACCUGCAAAGUAAAGUUGGAUGCUUCAGAGCACAUGGAUGAUACCCAGGUCAGCACGGUGUAAGGCAUAUAUGGACACAAAGAGAGGCCAUUGUUGGCAAUAAAUAGCAUUACGGAAAAGAUUCCAAACCAGCAGAACAGAAAUGGACCUGAUGCUCCAGUUUUUUAGAUAAGUAAUCCCAAGAAUCCAGUUCCAACUCUACUGUCAACAUGUGGGGCAGAAUUCAAUUUCUAUCAUUGUUUUUACAGAUCUGGGCUGAGGCCAUUUGCUCCUUGCUUGGUUAAAAAAAAAUAAAAAAAUAAAAAAAGGUUUCUUCCUGUUUCUUUCUGGGCAGGGAAAUACAGCUUAAAGAAGGAAAGGCCAUGAGUCCUGGGAGCACUAUGAAGGUAGCUAAACUCUUCCCAUAUCUACAGUCAAUGACUGGGAAAUAGAGAAAGGACAGGGCAACCUGCCCAGCCACUAGCAUCGAAAACAAAAAGGUAUGUUAAUUGUGAGGCUCUCAAUUCUAGAAAUGCCCAAAUUAAAAGAGAAAAAAACCUUGAAAAAUUAAACAAAUUUCUCUUUCUAGAAGUCAUUUAUUUACAUAUUAUAUGUCCGAUAUAUAAUGUGUAGAUAAAUGUAUACUGCAGUGAAAGUGACCACUCUACUGAACUGUACAGCACAUUAUAGGACAAAUUAUUGGAAGUUUUCAUCUCAUACUGGUAUCUUUUAAUAAAAAAAAAAAAUUAAAAAUCAAAGAAAACGUCUGGCCAGGGCCAGGAUAAG